Molecule: ribosomal RNA, 435 nt
Filed under: uncultured bacterium
Lineage: Bacteria
Description: partial 16S ribosomal RNA
Rfam family: Bacterial small subunit ribosomal RNA
Source: RNAcentral
AACGAACGCUGGCGGCAUGCCUAACACAUGCAAGUCGAACGAUUGCCCUCGGGUGAUAGUGGCGCACGGGUGCGUAACGCGGGGGAAUCUGCCCUUAGGUUCGGAAUAACAGCUGGAAACGGCUGCUAAUACCGGAAGAUAUCGCGAGAUCAAAGAUUUAUUGCCUGAGGAUGAGCCCGCGUUGGAUUCGGUAGUUGGUGGGGUGAAGGGCUACCAAGCCGACGAGCCAUAGCCGGUAUGAGAGGAUGAGCAGACACACUGGGACUGAGACACGGUCCAGAAUCCUACGGGAGGCACGCGUGGGGAAUAUUGGACAAUGGGCGCAAGCAUGAAGCAGCUAUGCCGGGAGAGUGAUGAAGUCCCUAGGGUAGUAAAGCACUUUUACACGGGAAGAUAAUGACUGUACCGGGAGAAUAAGCCCCGGCUAACUCCGUG